AAUUUUUUAGUCAACUCCAAUAUUUCAAAUACCAAUCUCACUUAUAGGUCAAGGGUUCUAUAUUAAGAUUUUUAACCAUUAAUUCUCAUGAAUUAAAAAAUGAUGGUUUAUUGAAAUAUUGACUAAAUUCUCAUGAAUUUAAUAAACUGGUUAUUAAAUCAUAAAUGCAUGCAAACAUGUAUUUUGAAUUUUCAUAUGGAAACACUAUACAAUACGAUUUUCUUUGUAUUUUUGAGACACUUGGUUGUUUGAAAUUAAAACAUUUAAUUUUUUUUGUAUUUUUGAUUUUGAACAUUCAAAAUUUAAUAAAAAAAUAAAAACACACACACACCCAUCUUUUUUUACUAUAUUUUACUCACACACACACCCACAAUUAUUAAUUUACAAAUUAUCUAAAUUUAAAAUAAUUCAAACAACACAUUAAACAAUUGUAAAAAUUCACAAAUCAAUUUGCUGAGAAUUCUGGAAUAGUAUUGGGAGUCCUAGUGGCGCAUGGAACCACGCGCCGUUAUAGGAAAGGCUGGAGAUUGGUAGAUCUGGACUGAUUUCUUCUUUUCCUUCUUCUUGUGCUGGCAGUGAUGGAUUUAGUUACCUGCAAAAGAAAAUCUUUAUAGAAGCAAAAAUCAUCAAUUUUUUUCUUCUGAUUCUCUCUCUCAGUUUCGUCUCUCUCUAUUUUUUUUACUGCAGAUGGUCACUACUACCACAAAUGAAAGAGGUAACGGCUGGAGUAAACGGGGUUGUUGGUUGGUGGCUGGAGAAGGGUGGAUCCACGGUGGAAGAAGAAGCAGCCGCUGGUUAUGGUGAGGAUAUGCUGUGAAGGACGUUGUUACUGGGAGGAGGAGAAGUCGCUGCUUUACUGGCAUAGUUGUGAUGUUUCGGCCAAGAGAGGGUCCGAUUUGGAAGGGUCUACUUUCAGUGGAGAAGAAGAAGGGAAAUGACGUUGGGCAGUGAGGUAUUAGGUUGGAAAUGGGGUUUGGUCCAUGGUGGUAGUGAUGAUUGAGAAGAGAAAGGAAGGAGAUGUUGUGGGUGGUUUUGGUUUGAAGUUGUAGAUGCUGACUUGAGGAGCUGGCGUUCACGGUGGCUGAGGGAAAAACUCUGGUGGUGCUGCUGUCACAGUCGUCUAUGGUAGCAACGAGGAGGAACCUUUAGGCUGAUCUUGAUGUUGAGGCUGGUCUAUUGUGAGAAUGGUUUAUAGGUUAUGAUGGUGAGAGAGGUUGAAGAGGAUGCUUAAGCCUUAUGGUCGAAUGUUGUGCUGCGUGAUGAAUGGGUAGUGGGUGGUGGUUGUCUUGGCAAUAGAGAGGGAAGUCUAGUGGUGGUCUGAUGUGAAAGAGGCAGUAGGUUGAAGAGCUGAGGUAUAUGGUGAAUGGCAUUUUUGCUUGGUUUGGACAUGCAGCUGUAGUGACGGGGAAGAGACAAUGAAAGGGGCAAAAAUUGUUUUCCAGGGUUGAGGACAGCUGAUCGAGGGUUGUUUAGGUUUGAGGUUUUUUUGUGCUGUGGAGGUGUGGGGAGAGUAUGUGUGAAUUUCUUGUUUAUAUAUAUAUAUAUAUAUAUAU
This 1553-nucleotide long non-coding RNA is filed under the name Populus trichocarpa (black cottonwood). RNAcentral describes it as "long non-coding RNA (PTRI_LNC004400)". The record is from RNAcentral. Lineage: Eukaryota; Viridiplantae; Streptophyta; Magnoliopsida; Malpighiales; Salicaceae.